UCAAACUUGGUCAUUUAGAGGAAGUAAAAGUCGUAACAAGGUUUCCGUAGGUGAACCUGCGGAAGGAUCAUUAACGAGUGCUUUGAAGUGGGCUUGAUGCUGGUGCUUUUUAAGUGCAUGUGCUCAGCUCGCGCUCAAUUCCACUUAACCCCUGUGCACUAUUCGGAGUGUGUUGUCUGUAUACCUUUUUCUUUACUUCUCUUCUAUUGAAGGGAGGGUCAUGCGAAGGGGGGGAAAGGAUGGCAUCUCCGGUUAUCAUUACAAACUCUUCAUUGUGUAUUGUAGAAUGUAUUACCUUUUUAAAAGGUGAAAUUGAAAUACAACUUUCAACAACGGAUCUCUUGGCUCUCGCAUCGAUGAAGAACGCAGC
This 370-nucleotide unclassified non-coding RNA is filed under the name uncultured fungus. Its description in RNAcentral is "partial contains small subunit ribosomal RNA, internal transcribed spacer 1, and 5.8S ribosomal RNA". The stretch from base 1 to 73 matches the Rfam family "Eukaryotic small subunit ribosomal RNA", at positions 1759 to 1831 of the family's 1831-position model. Lineage: Eukaryota; Fungi. The record is from RNAcentral.